GACGAACGCUGGCGGCGUGCUUAACACAUGCAAGUCGAACGGAAAGGCCUCUUUCGGGGGGUACUCGAGUGGCGAACGGGUGAGUAACACGUGAGUAACCUGCCCUUGACUUUGGGAUAACUUCAGGAAACUGGGGCUAAUACCGGAUAGGAGCUCCUGCUGCAUGGUGGGGGUUGGAAAGUUUCGGCGGUUGGGGAUGGACUCGCGGCUUAUCAGCUUGUUGGUGGGGUAGUGGCUUACCAAGGCUUUGACGGGUAGCCGGCCUGAGAGGGUGACCGGCCACAUUGGGACUGAGAGACGGCCCAGACUCCUACGGGAGGCAGCAGUGGGGAAUAUUGCACAAGGGGUGGAAGCCGGAUGCAGCAACGCCGUGUGCGGGAUGACGGCCUUCGGGUUGUAAACCGCUUUCGCUCAUGACGAAGCUUUGUGUGACGGUAGUGGGUAAAGAAGCACCGGCUAACUACGUG
RNAcentral lists this ribosomal RNA (467 nucleotides) under uncultured bacterium. RNAcentral describes it as "partial 16S ribosomal RNA". It matches the Rfam family "Bacterial small subunit ribosomal RNA", at positions 28 to 507 of the family's 1533-position model. The record is from RNAcentral.